GGGGGCGACUUGGUAUCGACGGAGAUGCUGAACCCUAUGGGGCAUGUCGGGUUGUUGGCCCCGUAAAAAGCUGGCACUUGCAUAUAAUUGCAAACGACGACGUAGAACUAGCUUACGCUGCGUAAGUUACCCCGCUCUUGAGGUGUCCAUCCAUUGAGAAUCCGGGGCCAUUUAGAUG
Molecule: transfer-messenger RNA, 178 nt
Filed under: Zetaproteobacteria bacterium CG_4_9_14_3_um_filter_54_145
Lineage: Bacteria; Pseudomonadati; Pseudomonadota; Candidatius Mariprofundia
Description: partial transfer-messenger RNA
Rfam family: transfer-messenger RNA
About the family: Bacterial tmRNA, also known as 10Sa RNA or SsrA, is named for its dual tRNA and mRNA-like properties. Its role is to liberate the mRNA from a stalled ribosome.
Source: RNAcentral